AAGUCGAACGCACCCGCUUCGGCGCCCCCCCUGGCGCACGGCUGAGUAACACGUGGGAACCUGCCCCCCGGUGGGGGAUAACGCGACGAAAGUUGCGCUAAUCCCGCAUACGUCCUUCGGGGGAAAGCGCAGUGCGCGCCGGGGGAGGGGCCUGCGGCCCAUCAGGUCGUUGGUGGGGUAAUGGCCUACCAAGCCGAUGACGGGUAGCUGGUCUGGGAGGAUGACCAGCCAGACUGGGACUGAGACACGGCCCAGACUCCUACGGGAGGCAGCAGCAAGGAAUUUUCGGCAAUGGGCGCAAGCCUGACCGAGCAACGCCGCGUGCGGGAUGACGGCCUUCGGGUUGUAAACUCCUUUCGGGUGGGACGAC
This 370-nucleotide ribosomal RNA is filed under the name uncultured bacterium. RNAcentral describes it as "partial 16S ribosomal RNA". It matches the Rfam family "Bacterial small subunit ribosomal RNA", at positions 59 to 449 of the family's 1533-position model. The record is from RNAcentral.